GCGCUCGUCGUUCAACGGAUAGGACACAAGCUUGCGGAGCUUGUAAUAGGGGUUCGAUUCCUCUCGAGCGCACAA
This 75-nucleotide transfer RNA is filed under the name Candidatus Ryanbacteria bacterium RIFCSPLOWO2_12_FULL_47_9c. RNAcentral's name for it is "tRNA-Arg". It matches the Rfam family "tRNA". From Rfam's summary of the family: Transfer RNA (tRNA) molecules are approximately 80 nucleotides in length. Lineage: Bacteria; Candidatus Ryaniibacteriota. The record is from RNAcentral.